Small nuclear RNA from Oryctolagus cuniculus (rabbit), 93 nucleotides. Its record names the gene U2. It matches the Rfam family "U2 spliceosomal RNA". Rfam says of the family: U2 is a small nuclear RNA (snRNA) component of the spliceosome (involved in pre-mRNA splicing). Complementary binding between U2 snRNA (in an area lying towards the 5' end but 3' to hairpin I) and the branchpoint sequence (BPS) of the intron results the bulging out of an unpaired adenosine, on the BPS, which initiates a nucleophilic attack at the intronic 5' splice site, thus starting the first of two transesterification reactions that mediate splicing. The record is from Ensembl. NCBI's taxonomy places the organism in Eukaryota, Metazoa, Chordata, Mammalia, Lagomorpha, Leporidae.
AUUGCUUCUUGGCCUUUUGACUAAGAUCAAGUGUAGUAUCUGUUCUUAUCAGUUAAUAAUAGAUGUAAUAUGUAUAACAAUAAUAGACAAAAA